This 442-nucleotide ribosomal RNA is filed under the name uncultured bacterium. RNAcentral describes it as "bacterial SSU rRNA". It matches the Rfam family "Bacterial small subunit ribosomal RNA", at positions 958 to 1399 of the family's 1533-position model. The record is from RNAcentral.
AACGCGAAGAACCUUACCCAGGCUUGACAUGCAGUGGACCGGACCAGAGAUGGUUCAUUCCUUCGGGACCACUGCACAGGUGCUGCAUGGCUGUCGUCAGCUCGUGCCGUGAGGUGUUGGGUUAAGUCCCGCAACGAGCGCAACCCUUAUCGUUAGUUGCCAACAUGUAAAGAUGGGAACUCUAACGAGACUGCCUGGGUUAACCAGGAGGAAGGUGAGGAUGACGUCAAGUCCGCAUGGCCCUUAUGUCUGGGGCUACACACGUGCUACAAUGGUCGGUACAGAGGGCAGCAGAACCGUGAGGCGAAGCAAAUCCCCCAAAGCCGGCCCCAGUUCAGAUUGUAGUCUGCAACUCGACUACAUGAAGAUGGAAUUGCUAGUAAUGGCGAGUCAGCAACAUCGCCGUGAAUACGUUCCCGGGCCUUGUACACACCGCGUGUCU